UAAACUAGGAUUAGAUACCCUAUUAUUUUAAAUGUAAAUUUAUUAUGCUAAAUUAGUAUUAGUUAUGUUCUUGAAAAUUAAAAAAUUUGGCGGUAUUUUAGUCUUUUCAGAGGAACCUGCCCUGUAAUUGAUAAUCCACGAUUAAAAAAACUUUAUUUAUUAGUUUACAUAUCGUUGUAGUUUGAAUAUUUUAAUAGAAAGUUAAUGUUCAAAAUUUUUUAUCAGAAAAAAAAAUCAGAUCAAGGUGUAGUUUAUAAUAAAGUAGAGGUGGGUUACAUUAAAUUUAUUUUAGGAUAUUUUUUUUUAAAGAAAAUUGAAUAUGGAUUUGAAAGUAAUUUAAUGUAUUUACUUAAAAUGAUUAAAGCUCUAAAAUAUGCACACAUCGCCCGUCGCUCUUAA
This 399-nucleotide ribosomal RNA is filed under the name Bruchidius lividimanus. RNAcentral's name for it is "partial 12S small subunit ribosomal RNA". The record is from RNAcentral. Lineage: Eukaryota; Metazoa; Arthropoda; Insecta; Coleoptera; Chrysomelidae.